This 1596-nucleotide long non-coding RNA is filed under the name Strigops habroptila (Kakapo). Its description in RNAcentral is "lncRNA (ENSSHBG00005005847.1)". Lineage: Eukaryota; Metazoa; Chordata; Aves; Psittaciformes; Psittacidae. The record is from RNAcentral.
ACCUGCAGAGAUUUUGACAAGUCUUACAUGUUUUCUGCUCCAUUCUUUGGGUCAAGAACACGCUGGUUAAUAGCCAAUUAUUUCAUACCCUAAGGAAGUUUUGGGAAAGAAGUUCCUGAGAAGACAACUUGUUUUAGGAAAUCGGGCUAAUAUUCAGUAGAGAACACAGACCUGUUUCCCUGAAUGCUGGAGGAAUCAAACAAAAAGCAGCAGCAUCUUUGCUCACGGCUUCUGCCUUUAUAUGCUUGCUCUGUCAGGCUGAAAAGUUACUACAGGAACUGCCCUGGGCCACCAGUUGCAAAGCUGUCAAAAUUAUCAUGAAGGAAUUGCAUCUUUGCAGCAUGAAUCCAGCCCAGUUUGUUCCUCCUCACAGCACCUGUCAAGAAGAGUGCUUUGACUUUCCAGGAGACAAAAUGAAUUUCUUAGAUGCACCACUGAUAUCCCUCAGCAUUCUGCAGCCCAGCGCAUACAGCCUGGGGAAGUCUUGUAGAUCCUCCACAAAGCACUGACUCAAGGGAAGAAGACAUCUCUGAAUUCUGAGUUCGAAUAACCUGGGUCCAACCAGCAGGAGCUUUUUCUCUGUGAGAUUAAAUAUGUAAGAUUUUAUAACCCAGUUUAAACAUGUCCCAUGCAAAAUUCAGGAUUGGUUUUCAGUAUGUAAUUUUCCUUUAAUUUUUAAACAAGUUCUUGCAAUGAUGUUAAUUUUAUUAUCUGUAUUGAUGGAAUGAUGAAGAAAUCAAAAUACAAAAAUCUACAGAUAAAUUGAUAUUUAAUCAUUAAUCUAUUCCUGUCAAUGAAAUUUUAACCAAUCAUAAAUUUAAAUGUAAUCAGAACUAAAUCUGUCACUAUAUAAUUAGAUUGCUGAGUUGUGAGGUAGCAGAAAUCCAUUAUCUUUACAUAAACUUCUAGUUUCCAAGGCAAUUUAGUCUCUAAUCUCAUAAGAGCUGGCAGUUAAGUAAGCGUGUUUUUCUAUCAAGUUUAAUGUAGAGAAAAACAAAAUUCAAAAUGAAGGACAAAAAGAAAAUUAUGGAACAGUAACAAAAUUAAGUUAGUUCAAAAGUUUUUUUUUUAUUAAACAUAAAUUCUACGGGGAAAAAUAAUAAUACAAGAAUGUUUGGAAGAAAUUUUCAAUAUUAUUAGGACACUCCACUGAUGUAAGCGUUUUAAUCCAAUGCUUCUUAUCGUUAAUGAAUGGACUCUAUUAAUGGAGCCUCCAGAUACUUUCUUUCACUUUGCAAAUCUACUUACAGGAAGGUUUAGAAAUAAUGCAAAAGCAGCUUACAUGAAAAAGAAAUUAAAAGAACUGAUUUGGGAGGAAGGGAAAUAGACAACCCUCAUUUGCAUUUAAAGGAAAUCUAUUCCAUUGAUCUAGCUUUUAGCCAAACAAAAAGUAAAAAUAUAUAGAUUAGUAAAAAUAUAUAGAUUAUAGUUCUGCAAAUGGAGGGUUCAUUUUGAGCUACAUUGAUUUUCAAUUUAUGGAAUAGGUUGUGAUUAAAAAUAAAUAAACACCAUCCCAGCUCCCCGAAUUACGUAUUACUUUAAUGUAUUGAGUUUUUUUCCUUCAUGUGAAAGAGAGAAAAAACAACCAAACAAAAA